Molecule: ribosomal RNA, 1337 nt
Filed under: uncultured bacterium
Lineage: Bacteria
Description: bacterial SSU rRNA
Rfam family: Bacterial small subunit ribosomal RNA
Source: RNAcentral
AACGAACGCUGGCGGCAUGCCUAAUACAUGCAAGUCGAACGAGUAAGAGCCGUAGCAAUACGGAGUUCUGCUAGUGGCAAACGGGUGAGUAACGCGUGGGAACCUUCCUUAUAGUACGGAAUAACUACUGGAAACGGUAGCUAAUACCGUAUAUUCCCUCCGGGGGAAAGAUUUAUCGCUAUAAGAUGGGCCCGCGUCAGAUUAGCUUGUUGGUGAGGUAACGGCUCACCAAGGCUACGAUCUGUAGCUGGUCUGAGAGGAUGAUCAGCCACACUGGAACUGCGACACGGUCCAGACUCCUACGGGAGGCAGCAGUAAGGAAUAUUGGACAAUGGGCGAAAGCCUGAUCCAGCAAUGCCGCGUGAGUGAUGAAGGCCUUCGGGUUGUAAAGCUCUUUCAGUAGGGAAGAUAAUGACGGUACCUACAGAAGAAGCCCCGGCUAACUUCGUGCCAGCAGCCGCGGUAAUACGAAGGGGGCGAGCGUUGUUCGGAAUUACUGGGCGUAAAGCGCGCGUAGGCGGCUUGCCAAGUCGGAAGUGAAAGCCCAAGGCUUAACCUUGGAAUUGCUUUCGAAACUGGUGAGCUAGAGAAUGGUAGGGGAUAGUGGAAUUCCUGGUGUAGAGGUGAAAUUCGUAGAUAUCAGGAGGAACACCGGUGGCGAAAGCGACUAUCUGGACCAUUUCUGACGCUGAGGCGCGAAAGCGUGGGGAGCAAACAGGAUUAGAUACCCUGGUAGUCCACGCCGUAAAUGGUGGAUGCUAGAUGUUGGGGCCUUGAGCUUCAGCGUCGUAGCUAACGCGUUAAGCAUCCCGCCUGGGGAGUACGGUCGCAAGAUUAAAACUCAAAGGAAUUGACGGGGACCCGCACAAGCGGUGGAGCAUGUGGUUUAAUUCGAUGCAACGCGAAAAACCUUACCAACCCUUGACAUGUCGGUCGCGAGAUCCAGAGAUGGAUUUCUUCAGUUCGGCUGGACCGAACACAGGUGUUGCAUGGCUGUCGUCAGCUCGUGUCGUGAGAUGUUGGGUUAAGUCCCGCAACGAGCGCAACCCUCAUCCUUAGUUGCCAACAGGUUAUGCUGGGGACUCUAAGGAAACUGCCGGUGAUAAACCGGAGGAAGGUGGGGACGACGUCAAGUCAUCAUGGCCCUUACGGGUUGGGCUACACACGUGCUACAAUGGUGGUUACAAUGGGAUGCCAAGUCGUGAGAUGGAGCAGAUCCCCAAAAGCCACCUCAGUUCAGAUUGGAGUCUGCAACUCGACUCCAUGAAGUCGGAAUCGCUAGUAAUCGUGGAUCAGCAUGCCACGGUGAAUACGUUCCCGGGUCUUGUACACACCGC